This 805-nucleotide long non-coding RNA is filed under the name Aedes aegypti (yellow fever mosquito). RNAcentral's name for it is "lncRNA AAEL020752". The record is from RNAcentral. Lineage: Eukaryota; Metazoa; Arthropoda; Insecta; Diptera; Culicidae.
GGGACAAACGUCAACUCUUUCAUUGUCUUAGCACAAGCGCUAAGGAGUGCCUCUGUCAAAAAUCAAUAAUUUUCGUGAUAAAACUGAUUUGUGAUGAGUAUUUCUGCGGUGUAAUAGCAAGGAUGGCGGCGAAAGCUGUCGAUCUUGCCAGAAACGGUUACCCAAUCCGUAGGGCAGCGGCUCAAUGUAAUGUUCCAGUAAGUGCAGUUCGUAUGAAGCUGGAGGCAAAGCGUGCAUAGAAAAAACCCGGAAGGCCGACUGUAUUGACUAAGGGGAGACUUUUAUUGUAAACUGGAUCAUUGAUAGCGCGAAGGUUGGCUUCCCGGUUGAUUCGACGAAGCUGCCCUUGAAGAUGAGCGCACUAGAACUGCAGACAACCUAAUUUUUGCAACACUAUUGGACAGCAUUGUGAAUGAAAAUUCUCUUGAUGAAAACUCGCUUGAACUUUCGUUAGAGCCUACUAGUUCUGCAAGCUUGUCAAAGUCAUCACGUCCGGCUGAAGACAUGAACAGCCGAGAGGAUUUUCUUGAGAAAGUAUUCACCAUACCAACGGUUUCAAGAAAAUCACCAAAGCGUGCGAAGCCGAAUCGUCCACGACCACCUACCUAGUACAAAGAGAUGGAACAAAAUAAGGAAAACGAAGAACAGAAACGCCAAGAAAAGAAAACUGCCAGAGAAACAAAAAGGAAGAAGAAAACUACUAAUGUAAAGCAACGUCCGAAAACUAAGACACAAAAGCCACGUUUGUGAACUGUGAACCUGAUUGUAAUAUUGUAAAUAUCAAGUCAAAUAAAGAACGUAAAGC